UGGCCCGUAUGAGAUUCUGGGAGAAUAGGAGAGGUGGCUUAUAGAUUGGCAUUGCCGCCAGGCGUUGAUCGUGCGCAUAACGUGUUCCAUGUUUCUCAGUUGCGGCGAUACAUUAGUGACCCUUCGCAUGUGCUACAGCCAGAGCUCUCCAGUUAGAUGAUAACAUGACUUAUGAGGAGUUUCCAGUUCAGAUUCUAGAUCACAAAGUUCGUAAGACUCGCAAAGGUGAGACAAAGAUGUGAAGGUGUUGUGGUCAAACCACAACUCGGAGGAGUCUACUUGGGAAGCUGAGGAUGCGAUGCGUCUUAAGUAUCCCCAUCUCUUCACUCAGAUUGCGGGUUCGUAGAGGAACCUUUUUGACUUGAGAUUGAGGUACAUUGACUGUGUUUGCUACUAAGGGACUUGAAGAUAGUUAGCUCCAGUUGGGUUAAAGAGUGCGUUGGAUCCCUUUUUAUUUAAUAGGACUUUAAAAGACUUCCGCUGUUAUUUAUUUGACUAUAAAAUUUAUAUUCUGGUUUGUAAUAAUUAUUUUACAUUCUAUUCAGUUGGUCUGUAAUAAUUAGUUAAAACUUUUGGUUAUUGUUUUAAUUAGAACCAUUAGCCUUGCGGUUGUUAUUAAUAAUUAUCGCGGCGUAUCACCUUUG
Long non-coding RNA from Beta vulgaris subsp. vulgaris (sugar beet), 644 nucleotides. RefSeq lists it as uncharacterized. The record is from RefSeq and is a predicted model, not a curated record. Lineage: Eukaryota; Viridiplantae; Streptophyta; Magnoliopsida; Caryophyllales; Amaranthaceae. The transcript has 3 exons.